Long non-coding RNA from Saccostrea cuccullata (small rock oyster), 1459 nucleotides. RefSeq lists it as uncharacterized. NCBI's taxonomy places the organism in Eukaryota, Metazoa, Mollusca, Bivalvia, Ostreida, Ostreidae. The transcript is spliced from 2 exons. The record is from RefSeq and is a predicted model, not a curated record.
AUCUGCCUUCACUUUAUACUAAUAUACACUUGCAUACACGUACAUGAAGUAUUCGGUGACUGUCUGAGGCGGCACUGAAUAUAUAUUCGUUGUUGAGUAUCAUAUCGAGGAUUGUAUUAAUAUUUCAUAUCAUUUUGAAUUAUUUAAAUGCUUUUGUCAAGAUAUGCAAUAAUUCUAUUCCUGGUACGUACGUUAAUGACUUUCGAGUUGUGUAUGAAUUUAUCUGUCUUCACUUUAUAAACUUACAUACAUGUACACGAAGUAUUCGGUGACUGUCUUAGGCGGCACUGAAUAUAUUCGUUGUUGGGUAUCAUAUCGAGGAUUGUAUAAAUAGUUUAUAUCUCUUUGAAUUAUUUACAUGUUUUUGUCAAGAUAUGCAAUAAUUCUAUUCCUGGUACGUACGUUAAUGACUUUCGAGUUGUGUAUGAAUUUAUCUGUCUUCACUUUAUAAACUUACAUACAUGUACACGAAGUAUUCGGUGACUGUCUUAGGCGGCACUGAAUAUAUUCGUUGUUGGGUAUCAUAUCGAGGAUUGUAUAAAUAGUUUAUAUCUCUUUGAAUUAUUUACAUGUUUUUGUCAAGAUAUGCAAUAAUUCUAUUCCAGGUUGGUACGUUAAUGAGUUUCGAUUAUGUAUUUAUUUUAUUUUAGUUAAUAUUUUUAUUAUCCAUCCUUAGAAUUCCAUUGAUCUAUGUUGUGAAUAGUUUUGUUAGUAUUUACAUCGUUAUCAAGCUGUAUACAUUAAGUAAUUGAAGCACAUUUUUGGGUGGGGCGAGUGACCCUUCUCUGUACGUUCAUUGUCCCUCUUGUGGGAUGUUUUUGGGCCCCACCUUCUGCUGCAUUCUGAUAUUGUAAAAUCUGUAAUCUCAUUUGGCAUUUGUAAUAAAUGCUCUAUACACACACACGCCCUCUUUAUUAUUUAACAUGCUGCAGAACAGAGCUGCAAAUGUGCUUCAGGUUCACAUGAACCGAAUUGUUCAUCAGUUUCAGUAUUUAAGAGCUCAUAAGUGUAUUUAUGUAUAUAAAGGAAUUUAUGUGAUCUAAAUACGUAAUAAAUUGCAUAUUUUUAUUAAUUACCAAUUUGUUUGAAUUCAUGGGUCCCGAAGGGUUUUCCGGGUUUUAUACUUAAGCGUCCUCUAGUAACGGCUAUUAGCCUUAUCCUUAUCAGAAUAACAUUUCGGCUCCAAAAUGUGGUUUACAAAUUUUACCCACCACCACCCCUUCAAUCCUCCAUAAUUAUUGUUAUUGUAGAAAAUACAUGUACUAGUUUCUUUUAUAUAAGGUGCCUAUUGUUAUUGCAUGACUUUUGUACUUAUUGUUAAUUUUGUAGAAAAUAUAUGUACUAGUUUUCUUUUGUAUAAGGUGUGGGAUGUUUUUGGGCCCCACCUUCUGCUGCAUUCUGAUAUUGUAAAAUCUGUAAUCUCAUUUGGCAUUUGUAAUAAAUGCUCUAUACACACACA